RNAcentral lists this ribosomal RNA (757 nucleotides) under uncultured bacterium. RNAcentral describes it as "bacterial SSU rRNA". It matches the Rfam family "Bacterial small subunit ribosomal RNA", at positions 626 to 1384 of the family's 1533-position model. The record is from RNAcentral.
UUNUGAACUGGGUGACUAGAGUGUGUCAGAGGGAGGUAGAAUNCCACGUGUAGCAGUGAAAUGCGUAGAGAUGUGGAGGAAUACCGAUAGCGAAGGCAGCCUCCUGGGAUAACACUGACGUUCAUGCCCGAAAGCGUGGGUAGCAAACAGGAUUAGAUACCCUGGUAGUNCACGCCCUAAACGAUGUCGAUUAGCUGUUGGGCAGCAUGACUGCUUAGUAGCGAAGCUAACGCGUGAAAUCGACCGCCUGGGGAGUACGGUCGCAAGAUUAAAACUCAAAGGAAUUGACGGGGACCCGCACAAGCGGUGGAUGAUGUGGAUUAAUUCGAUGCAACGCGAAGAACCUUACCUGGUCUUGACAUGUACGGAACCCUCCAGAGACGGAGGGGUGCCUUCGGGAGCCGUAACACAGGUGCUGCAUGGCUGUCGUCAGCUCGUGUCGUGAGAUGUUGGGUUAAGUCCCGCAACGAGCGCAACCCUUGUCAUUAGUUGCCAUCAUUAAGUUGGGCACUCUAAUGAGACUGCCGGUGACAAGCCGGAGGAAGGUGGGGAUGACGUCAAGUCCUCAUGGCCCUUAUGACCAGGGCUUCACACGUCAUACAAUGGUCGGUACAGAGGGUAGCCAAGCCGCGAGGUGGAGCCAAUCUCACAAAACCGAUCGUAGUCCGGAUUGCACUCUGCAACUCGAGUGCAUGAAGUCGGAAUCGCUAGUAAUCGCAGGUCAGCAUACUGCGGUGAAUACGUUCCCGGGUCUUGU